GAUGAACGCUAGCUACAGGCUUAACACAUGCAAGUCGAGGGGCAGCAUGACCUAGCUAUAGGUUGAUGGCGACCGUCGCACGGGUGAGUAACACGUAUCCAACCUGCCGAUUAUUCCGGGAUAGCCUUUCGAAAGAAAGAUUAAUACUGGAUAGCAUAACGAGAAGGCAUCUUCUUGUUAUUAAAGAAUUUCGAUAAUCGAUGGGGAUGCGUUCCAUUAGUUUGUUGGCGGGGUAACGGCCCACCAAGACAUCGAUGGAUAGGGGUUCUGAGAGGAAGGUCCCCCACAUUGGAACUGAGACACGGUCCAAACUCCUACGGGAGGCAGCAGUGAGGAAUAUUGGUCAAUGGACGAGAGUCUGAACCAGCCAAGUAGCGUGAAGGAUGACUGCCCUAUGGGUUGUAAACUUCUUUUAUAGGGGAAUAAAGUGGGCCACGUGUGGCUUUUUGUAUGUACCAUACGAAUAAGGAUCGGCUAACUCCGUG
RNAcentral lists this ribosomal RNA (485 nucleotides) under uncultured bacterium. Its description in RNAcentral is "partial 16S ribosomal RNA". It matches the Rfam family "Bacterial small subunit ribosomal RNA", at positions 28 to 507 of the family's 1533-position model. The record is from RNAcentral.